GUCAGGAUGGCCGAGCGGUCUAAGGCGCCAGACUCAAGGAUUACCUUCCCAGCAUGGCUGAGUGUGAGAGUUCUGGUCCACGAAUGUGGGCGUGGGUUCGAAUCCCACUUCUGACA
RNAcentral lists this transfer RNA (116 nucleotides) under Stegodyphus mimosarum. It matches the Rfam family "tRNA". Rfam says of the family: Transfer RNA (tRNA) molecules are approximately 80 nucleotides in length. Their secondary structure includes four short double-helical elements and three loops (D, anti-codon, and T loops). Lineage: Eukaryota; Metazoa; Arthropoda; Arachnida; Araneae; Eresidae. The record is from Rfam by way of RNAcentral.